Cynocephalus volans (Philippine flying lemur) is the source of this 3583-nucleotide long non-coding RNA. RefSeq lists it as uncharacterized. NCBI's taxonomy places the organism in Eukaryota, Metazoa, Chordata, Mammalia, Dermoptera, Cynocephalidae. The record is from RefSeq and is a predicted model, not a curated record. The transcript has 4 exons.
CGCAGUCCCGGAAGCGGUUUUGGGGGGGCCGCUUCCUUCCAGCCCGAGAGGCCAAGGAAGCGACCCCAGGAGGUCCCCAAACAACGGCCCGCGUGGCUUUUCCUCAGGUCUACGGAGCCCUCUCGUUGCAGAAGCAGCCGCGCUCAGCUUGGUCUGAUCUCCGCCUGUUUGCACUCGGCGCUGUCUCUUCCUCGGCCCUGUUUUCCAAAUAUGUCACAGCAAGGGGGCCCUGGUGAGAGGCGGUGGCCGGAGUGACGUGGAUGGUCACGCUGCUGCAAGUCUCCAACCAUCACUUUCCUUCUGCGCCAUGGAAACACGCUCGUGUGCAUUUGCAUGGAAUAACUUUAAGGCUGGGGAAUCAGAGGGAGUCCCUUCCUAGUUAAUAUGCUGAUAUUAGGGUAUUUCGAAACUCUCGCACAAUUUAAAAAGCCACUCGUUGGGGGGAUAGGAAGGGUGUCGGGAGGCAUCUGUGCCUCCUAAACACAGACGUCCUGGCUCGCAGAAUGGCAUUCUCUGCUAAGAUGCUUGGCAGGAGGGACAGUGAGAGAGAGGAAGAGCCACUCCAUGGGGAUUCCAGUAGAUGGAAAAGGACACAAAAUAAUAAAGAUGGGUUGUGCCUAGAAAGCAGUAUUUUGCAAAGGGGAUGUCUCUCCAGGUGGAGAAUCCAGAGGAGUGUCACUGGGGCAUCUUCCCACUGUUGUUAACUUCAUAUUGUUUGAAACGACCUGCCAAUCAUGCUCUGCCACACACCUCUUUGCCUAAAGUUACACCUGGGUGAAGGUGGAGCAAGAGGUGGAAUUACAGAACCCAGCUGUUCUAUCCAUCGAGAACAAUCCGAAGUGGAGAGGCCGAAUCGUGGACUGAACAGGCUCCGUGGGUGAAUGCAAAGGGUCGCUCUUUCAGAUAUGGACAGGGACAAGGUUCUACUUUUCGCAGUCUAGCUAAUUUGAGGACACAGACCCCCAUACAUCUGACAGCAGUGUCUUGAGCCUUAAGUAAGAGCUCAGGACAGGGGACAGCCAGCUAUGUUAGAAGCUUUGGCGCUCCCUUUUUGCCUGGAGGCCGUGGCGCUCCUCUGAAAAUGAAAACCACUUUCCUUCCAAGCAUGCAUACCACCAUAUGGGACUGAGAUCGGACCCCUCCUGCACCAAGGUGAUACAGGGAGUGACUACAGGAGGCCACUCCCAAAUACUGAACGUCACUGUGUUUUACUUAACAGGAUCAAAAUGAAGCCAGCUCUCACCAUGGCGGGCCACUACCAGCCACUGGAUGACAGUAGCCAGCAGACCAAGGUGACUGGUGUGGUCGCCCCGUCUGAUCUUCACAUCACAUUUCCCUUUCCCAGGCACAGCCCAGAGUUAGAACUUUUACUUGCUGCAAACUCAGAUGAAGGGGAGCCAGUCACAUCCCAGACACAGCGCCGGGUGCUUCCACGGGGUUCUCUCUGCUAUGCUGUAAGAUGGGGAUUUUCUCCUCCUGUUGCAGAAGGGGAAACUAACACCCGGACAGCCUGAGUAACAUGCAGCGGGUCAGGGGCGGUGCCAAGAGAGGAACCUGGGUCUGUCUGACUCCAAAGGUCGUGUUCUUCCCACUUCCUCAUUUUCUACCCAGAAAAGUACCAAUUUUUAGAUAAACAAACACUGUGACCCAUCCAUACCUGGGCAUCAGCAGGUUCUCAGUCUCACUGUGGUGGAGCUCACUGGGCUUCCUUGGGUCUAGUUAGAGGUGACAAGUGUGUUGAUGACAUGAGGCCAUAAGAUCCCCUGCCUCUUAAGAAUCAAUAACUUCAUUUCUGGCUGAAAACACUGAGUUGACAAUGUUCGUUGGACCCUUUGUCACAACAAGGUUUAAUUCUCAGUCGAGAGUAGACAGAUCGGCUGGCAUUGUCACCUGGAAAGGAGUUUUGUGUCCUUUUAUGUCCUCCCUCUCUAUCUGGAAGCAAAAAUCUGAAGUUCAUUUAGCCAUAUCCUCUGUAACUAACUGAAAGAGAAGCGAGGAAAGUGUCCCCAAGAAGCCCUCAGGCAUUUGUUCACCUUAUUAAUUCUGCAGGAACAACUCAGAGGCACUUGCAGACUUUUAACCCAGAGCUUCACAUAUUCCCAUGCCAAGCCUCUGGCAGCAGGGCCACAUGGCUCAAGCAGACCUGAACUAGACCUGUGCACAGCACUGUGUCUGCAGGACCAGGUGGGCACUGGAACCUAAGACCAUCUGUUCACCCAGUGUAUUUUUAUUUGUAUUUUUUUUUUUUAUCUCUAAGGGCUGGGGUUAGAUGUUUAUGAUGCCAGCAGGUGAGCCCACAAGUGCCGAAGCAUCAUGUGCUCCUGCUUUGAUUCUCUCUGGUCGAUGCUGUUGGCCUCAGUUCUCCUUUGGUGCUUGGAGAGACAGUGGGAGAGAAUGAGCCGAUCGCUGUUUCUCCACAGUGGGGCAGGAUGAAACCUUGCUGUGUUCCCUCCUGAAUCCAUUGCCUAAGGACCAAGAUAUUCUUUUUUUGAAUGAAAUCAAAGUGGUUUGAAUGAAAUCAAAGUCAUUUAAAUAAAAACUAAUGAUAUCUGGGGCCGGCCUGUGGCUCACUUGGGAGAGUGCGGUGCUGAUAACACCAAGGCCACGGGUUCGGAUCCCUAUAUAGGGAUGGCCCGUGGCUCACUUGGGAGAGCGUGGUGCUGACAACACCAAGUCAAGGGUUAAGAUCCCCUUACCGGUCAUCUUUUUAAAAACAAACAAAAAACUAAAGAUACCUGGUUUUUGGAAACUCUGGGAAUAGAAGUCCUACCUUUAGAGUAGAAAGGUAGCUUUUAUUCAUGCAAUCAACAAAUGUGUAUUGAGAGCCUGUGACGUGUCAGGCAUUUUGGCAGGUGUUGUAGAUUCCACAGUGAGAGAAUACACUCGAAUUCUGUUCUCGUGGCACUUACAGUCAAAUGGAAGAAAGAAGCACGAAGCAAACAAUAGCCCAGAUGAGUGUGCAAUUAUAACUUGUUAGCACAAUAUCAAUUUAUAUAAUUUUAAAAAAUAGAAACACAAUCACUGAUUUAAAAAGAAACACAUAAUAUAUUAAAAGCGUAAAAACAUAAAUGGGUGGCUGGCUGGUUGGCUCGGUUGGUUAGAACAUGUUGUUAUAACACCAAGGUCAAGGGUUCGGAUCCCCAUGUCAGCCAGCCACUAAAAAAUUAAUUAAUUUAAGGGGCCAGCCCGUUGCUCACUCGGGAGAGUGUGGUGCUGACAACACCAAGGUCACGGGUUCGGAUCCCAUAUACGGAUGGCCGGUUAGCUCACUUGGGUAAGCAUGGUGCUGACAACACCAAGUCAAGGGUUAAGAUCCCCUUACCGGUCAUCUUUUGGGGAAAAAAAAAAAAUUAAUCUAAAAAAAAAAAAGGAAAGAAUUACAAUGAAAUUUCUUAUGCUAGUUCCUCCGAAGAGGGAGAGAGGAGACAAGGAGUGGCCGGAGGGGCAACAGUGUUCAAAUGGACUUUAACCAUACCUGUUCUACGUUUGAUUUCUAAUAAAAGAAAAGAAAAAUAUUUGAAAUAAAUAUGGGAGAAAGUUAACGUUCAUUAACGUCGUUAAUUCUGGGUCAUGAUUACAUAGG